CCUCAGUGGAAAAAUGGAGAACAGUGUAAAAUUUUGGAUUUCACUCAUACCAGUGGGACAGCUAGCAUUUAACUUUUUCAUACAUGUUUUCCACAACAAUAAAAGUGAAAAAUAUUCUUAGACAGAUCAUAUAGAGCAUCCUUCCUGAAAGUGGAGUGCUCCAAAGAUCUCUAACACUUGAGAUUUCGUAUCGAUGCGGUUACCAAAAGAAGUUGAGUGAAGCAGAACUCCCUUCUCCUCCUGGCCAUUAUAAGCCAAAUUUUUAAACUUUUCCUCAGGCAAAACUUGUGUUGAUCUCACUGGGAGAUUUGCUUGAGUGAGGACAGCAAUAUUAAACUCUACUAGCAGCAAGAACCAAGCAUACCACUUCAAUAAUUUUAAAAUGAAAACCAUACAAAUAUACUUGUUUUGUCCAAAUGUGUAUGAACAUUAGCAACAUAAAACAUUUCAUAAGCUUGUGUAAUACAAGGAUAGCUACAGAUUUGAACUUGGCUACUUUCAAAGUACCCUUACUUACAACGAGCUUUAAACAAAGUGGCAAUAUUGUGAGGCCAAAUGUUCUCUCCAGAUUCUGGAAUGGGUAUAUGAGCACAGGAUAGGAUAAGACAAUAUGUGUAAGGGAAGGGAAGAAAGGCUUUCUCAAAGCAAGCAGAAGGGAAAUUGCUCUGCAGCUGUUACACAUGUCUAAGAGGUUCAGUUAUUUCCUGGUCAGAAAGGAGCAACUAAACAAGGAGAGCACAGAAUUCACUCAUCUGCACAUUCAGGACAAGCAAACAGUGUUAAAUGGCUUCUCCAGAAUCCAGGGCUUAUGGCCCUCUGCUCCAGCCACUCUCCUGCUACAGUUUGUUAUUUCUCCAUGCUGGUGGGCCUCUUGCCUGACUUUACGACAGUUAAAUAAUGUAAUUAAACAAUUAAGAUGA
RNAcentral lists this long non-coding RNA (920 nucleotides) under Anser brachyrhynchus (Pink-footed goose). RNAcentral describes it as "lncRNA (ENSABRG00000014657.1)". Lineage: Eukaryota; Metazoa; Chordata; Aves; Anseriformes; Anatidae. The record is from RNAcentral.